Molecule: long non-coding RNA, 731 nt
Organism: Nematostella vectensis (starlet sea anemone)
Lineage: Eukaryota; Metazoa; Cnidaria; Anthozoa; Actiniaria; Edwardsiidae
Exons: 2
Source: RefSeq, a predicted model, not a curated record
CUAUAAAUACAUGCAUACUCUUCAUGGGGACUUUUCCAUUCCAUACCAAAAGGACCAUGGUCAGGUUAAGUGCAAGGCCGAAGACCAUAACCACCAAAAGCACCACGAUAUGGCCUUUCCUGUAAACGCCUAUGGUAUCGGUGGAAAGUUCGUUUGAAGUUGUUCGGCGAUGACAGCCACAAAAAUCGAGAACUAUAGCGAAAUAAUAUUUUUAAAGGAGGCAAUGGCUUGUGACUGGACUUGACAGCAUGUAUGCCGUCCUUUCAGACCUUCUAGUAAUUUCCGAGCAAAUCCCCGUGGUAAUCAUUGGCGUCAUUACACCUGAAGUAGUCACUGAUUGGUUUAACAAGUUUAGGACGCAACAAGAGAAACGUCGCUUUUCAAAAUUCUGAACGAAAACCCUCUGUUUGGUAAUACUACUCUUUUUUUUAGGAAAAACCGCUAUUGUCUAUAAAAUGGACACUAAAAACAAUAAAUGAAGUAAUUUAUAAGAUAAAUGUAUUAUUAUGCAGGUACUGGGCUCGUACAAGUACCGAAGGAGUUCCUUUAUUUGGUUGUUUUUUCCACAUUCUUCUAAUUUCCAGGAAUUUUUCUAGACAUUAUUAUGUUAGGAGAAACGCAAUCCACUUCUUGUAAUACCACAUAUUGAGAUUCAUUAUAUGAAGAACCCCGUUAUCAGACUAUGCGAUAUCUUGAAGAUAUGACCGAAUAAAAAUGGAAUUUUGGACGGA